This 71-nucleotide transfer RNA is filed under the name Marmota monax (woodchuck). Its description in RNAcentral is "tRNA.Met". It matches the Rfam family "tRNA". From Rfam's summary of the family: Transfer RNA (tRNA) molecules are approximately 80 nucleotides in length. The record is from RNAcentral. Lineage: Eukaryota; Metazoa; Chordata; Mammalia; Rodentia; Sciuridae.
GGGGUUGUAGCUCAGCGGUAGAGUGCUUGCUUCAUAUGCAUGAGGCUCUGGGUUCGAUCCUCAGCACCACA